CUGUGAGCUCGAUGAGUAGGGCGGGACACGUGGUAUCCUGUCUGAAUAUGGGGGGACCAUCCUCCAAGGCUAAAUACUCCUGACUGACCGAUAGUGAACCAGUACCGUGAGGGAAAGGCGAAAAGAACCCCGGCGAGGGGAGUGAAAAAGAACCUGAAACCGUGUACGUACAAGCAGUGGGAGCACAGAGCAAUCUGUGUGACUGCGUACCUUUUGUAUAAUGGGUCAGCGACUUAUAUUCUGUAGCAAGGUUAACCGAAUAGGGGAGCCGAAGGGAAACCGAGUCUUAACUGGGCGUUAAGUUGCAGGGUAUAGACCCGAAACCCGGUGAUCUAGCCAUGGGCAGGUUGAAGGUUGGGUAACACUAACUGGAGGACCGAACCGACUAAUGUUGAAAAAUUAGCGGAUGACUUGUGGCUGGGGGUGAAAGGCCAAUCAAACCGGGAGAUAGCUGGUUCUCCCCGAAAGCUAUUUAGGUAGCGCCUCGUGAAUUCAUCUCCGGGGGUAGAGCACUGUUUCGGCAAGGGGGUCAUCCCGACUUACCAACCCGAUGCAAACUGCGAAUACCGGAGAAUGUUAUCACGGGAGACACACGGCGGGUGCUAACGUCCGUCGUGAAGAGGGAAACAACCCAGACCGCCAGCUAAGGUCCCAAAGUCAUGGUUAAGUGGGAAACGAUGUGGGAAGGCCCAGACAGCCAGGAUGUUGGCUUAGAAGCAGCCAUCAUUUAAAGAAAGCGUAAUAGCUCACUGGUCGAGUCGGCCUGCGCGGAAGAUGUAACGGGGCUAAACCAUGCACCGAAGCUGCGGCAGCGACGCUUAUGCGUUGUUGGGUAGGGGAGCGUUCUGUAAGCCUGCGAAGGUGUGCUGUGAGGCAUGCUGGAGGUAUCAGAAGUGCGAAUGCUGACAUAAGUAACGAUAAAGCGGGUGAAAAGCCCGCUCGCCGGAAGACCAAGGGUUCCUGUCCAACGUUAAUCGGGGCAGGGUGAGUCGACCCCUAAGGCGAGGCCGAAAGGCGUAGUCGAUGGGAAACAGGUUAAUAUUCCUGUACUUGGUGUUACUGCGAAGGGGGGACGGAGAAGGCUAUGUUGGCCGGGCGACGGUUGUCCCGGUUUAAGCGUGUAGGCUGGUUUUCCAGGCAAAUCCGGAAAAUCAAGGCUGAGGCGUGAUGACGAGGCACUACGGUGCUGAAGCAACAAAUGCCCUGCUUCCAGGAAAAGCCUCUAAGCAUCAGGUAACAUCAAAUCGUACCCCAAACCGACACAGGUGGUCAGGUAGAGAAUACCAAGGCGCUUGAGAGAACUCGGGUGAAGGAACUAGGCAAAAUGGUGCCGUAACUUCGGGAGAAGGCACGCUGAUAUGUAGGUGAAGUCCCUCGCGGAUGGAGCUGAAAUCAGUCGAAGAUACCAGCUGGCUGCAACUGUUUAUUAAAAACACAGCACUGUGCAAACACGAAAGUGGACGUAUACGGUGUGACGCCUGCCCGGUGCCGGAAGGUUAAUUGAUGGGGUCAGCGCAAGCGAAGCUCUUGAUCGAAGCCCCGGUAAACGGCGGCCGUAACUAUAACGGUCCUAAGGUAGCGAAAUUCCUUGUCGGGUAAGUUCCGACCUGCACGAAUGGCGUAAUGAUGGCCAGGCUGUCUCCACCCGAGACUCAGUGAAAUUGAACUCGCUGUGAAGAUGCAGUGUACCCGCGGCAAGACGGAAAGACCCCGUGAACCUUUACUAUAGCUUGACACUGAACAUUGAGCCUUGAUGUGUAGGAUAGGUGGGAGGCUUUGAAGUGUGGACGCCAGUCUGCAUGGAGCCGACCUUGAAAUACCACCCUUUAAUGUUUGAUGUUCUAACGUUGACCCGUGAUCCGGGUUGCGGACAGUGUCUGGUGGGUAGUUUGACUGGGGCGGUCUCCUCCUAAAGAGUAACGGAGGAGCACGAAGGUUGGCUAAUCCUGGUCGGACAUCAGGAGGUUAGUGCAAUGGCAUAAGCCAGCUUGACUGCGAGCGUGACGGCGCGAGCAGGUGCGAAAGCAGGUCAUAGUGAUCCGGUGGUUCUGAAUGGAAGGGCCAUCGCUCAACGGAUAAAAGGUACUCCGGGGAUAACAGGCUGAUACCGCCCAAGAGUUCAUAUCGACGGCGGUGUUUGGCACCUCGAUGUCGGCUCAUCACAUCCUGGGGCUGAAGUAGGUCCCAAGGGUAUGGCUGUUCGCCAUUUAAAGUGGUACGCGAGCUGGGUUUAGAACGUCGUGAGACAGUUCGGUCCCUAUCUGCCGUGGGCGCUGGAGAACUGAGGGGGGCUGCUCCUAGUACGAGAGGACCGGAGUGGACGCAUCACUGGUGUUCGGGUUGUCAUGCCAAUGGCACUGCCCGGUAGCUAAAUGCGGAAGAGAUAAGUGCUGAAAGCAUCUAAGCACGAAACUUGCCCCGAGAUGAGUUCUCCCUGACUCCUUGAGAGUCCUGAAGGAACGUUGAAGACGACGACGUUGAUAGGCCGGGUGUGUAAGCGCAGCGAUGCGUUGAGCUAACCGGUACUAAUGAACCGUGAGGCUUAACCUUACAACGCCGAAG
Molecule: ribosomal RNA, 2562 nt
Filed under: Escherichia coli
Lineage: Bacteria; Pseudomonadati; Pseudomonadota; Gammaproteobacteria; Enterobacterales; Enterobacteriaceae
Description: partial 23S ribosomal RNA
Rfam family: Bacterial large subunit ribosomal RNA
Source: RNAcentral